Molecule: ribosomal RNA, 510 nt
Filed under: bacterium enrichment culture clone ALO1_GLFRUDD03GXC5A
Lineage: Bacteria
Description: bacterial SSU rRNA
Rfam family: Bacterial small subunit ribosomal RNA
Source: RNAcentral
GAGUUUGAUCAUGGCUCAGAUUGAACGCUGGCGGCAGGCCUAACACAUGCAAGUCGAGCGGAUGACGGGAGCUUGCUCCUUGAUUCAGCGGCGGACGGGUGAGUAAUGCCUAGGAAUCUGCCUGGUAGUGGGGGACAACGUUUCGAAAGGAACGCUAAUACCGCAUACGUCCUACGGGAGAAAGCAGGGGACCUUCGGGCCUUGCGCUAUCAGAUGAGCCUAGGUCGGAUUAGCUAGUUGGUGGGGUAAUGGCUCACCAAGGCGACGAUCCGUAACUGGUCUGAGAGGAUGAUCAGUCACACUGGAACUGAGACACGGUCCAGACUCCUACGGGAGGCAGCAGUGGGGAAUAUUGGACAAUGGGCGAAAGCCUGAUCCAGCCAUGCCGCGUGUGUGAAGAAGGUCUUCGGAUUGUAAAGCACUUUAAGUUGGGAGGAAGGGCAGUAAGUUAAUACCUUGCUGUUUUGACGUUACCGACAGAAUAAGCACCGGCUAACUCUGUGCCAGCCG